UUGUGAAGGUGAAACACCGGCUAUGCCCGUAUGCAGGGGGGCUACAAAAACCUGUAUUAUCUGGGGAAUAAUAAACUCCUUAGUGAGGGGAAAAGACUACAAUACACUAAAGAAUCUGCAGAAAUGCGGUCACGUCGAUUUAAAACUUCUACGUGGGGUGAUAUAUCAAGCUUAGAGAUUAAGAGAGUGUGUCGGAAAAGCAGCACUUCAUAAAACGAGCUGCGUGUUUAAAACAGACCUAUUCCUUUUCCGCUGCUUAUCUUUCAAUUUGCUACUAGCCUCGCAAAUUUCUCAGGAAUAGCACUUUCAGCAGAGGAAACAAAUGACCGGCAAAGGAAAGAUGACCAGCAUGAACAUGAAUGAACAGCAGCUCCCCCACUGGUGACGACAGGGGAUUUACCCUUACUACAUGCCUCCAGAGACCACAGGAAUCCCCAGCAAUACACAUUUUUGCUUCCUCCCAGCUCGCAAGACAACUGUACCAGAAAGUCAUGCUGGAUAGACAUUUCUCCUUGAUGUUUCCACAACAAAUAUAAUCAAACAUCAGAAAAUAGAAUUAAUAUAGAC
Molecule: long non-coding RNA, 567 nt
Organism: Brienomyrus brachyistius
Lineage: Eukaryota; Metazoa; Chordata; Actinopteri; Osteoglossiformes; Mormyridae
Exons: 4
Source: RefSeq, a predicted model, not a curated record